This 341-nucleotide unclassified non-coding RNA is filed under the name fungal sp. RNAcentral's name for it is "partial internal transcribed spacer region". The stretch from base 1 to 46 matches the Rfam family "Eukaryotic small subunit ribosomal RNA", at positions 1786 to 1831 of the family's 1831-position model. Lineage: Eukaryota; Fungi. The record is from RNAcentral.
AAGUCGUAACAAGGUUUCCGUAGGUGAACCUGCGGAAGGAUCAUUAUCACGUUAUCCACGUUAACCAACCGUGAACUGUUCUGCUCCCUACGCGAAGACUUCUCCAUAUGCAUGUAUUUGUGUGUGGAGAGUUGAAACGGGGUUUGAGCAACCCCAUUUGUUGGGAAACCUUCAAAUGGGUGGUUUUUUUUAAUUAAAACCAUUUUAUCAUUAACCAAUUGAACCUUUCAUUUUUAACUAUGUACUAAAUAUAUGAUUUCUUACCUCCUCUCUUCGGGAGGAAGAGCAUCGUUGUUUACGAAACAUAAGAACAACUCUUAGCAACGGAUAUCUUGGUUCUC